RNAcentral lists this ribosomal RNA (409 nucleotides) under marine sediment bacterium BB0608_AND_1.1_5G0. Its description in RNAcentral is "bacterial SSU rRNA". It matches the Rfam family "Bacterial small subunit ribosomal RNA", at positions 75 to 484 of the family's 1533-position model. The record is from RNAcentral.
GUAGCUUGCUACCCGCUGACGAGCGGCGGACGGGUGAGUAAUGCAUAGGAAUCUGCCCGAUAGUGGGGGAUAACCUGGGGAAACCCAGGCUAAUACCGCAUACGUCCUACGGGAGAAAGGGGGCUCCGGCUCCCGCUAUUGGAUGAGCCUAUGUCGGAUUAGCUAGUUGGUAAGGUAAUGGCUUACCAAGGCAACGAUCCGUAGCUGGUCUGAGAGGAUGAUCAGCCACAUCGGGACUGAGACACGGCCCGAACUCCUACGGGAGGCAGCAGUGGGGAAUAUUGGACAAUGGGGGCAACCCUGAUCCAGCCAUGCCGCGUGUGUGAAGAAGGCCCUCGGGUUGUAAAGCACUUUCAGCGAGGAAGAACGCCUAUCGGUUAAUACCCGGUAGGAAAGACAUCACUCGCAG